GGGGCUGUGUGCCCGGGACACCCGGCCAGGGUCAGCGCACGGCUGUCCUCCGCCGCUUCGCCUCCCAACCUGCCGGCCUGGCAGGCUGCGUAGGAGUCUUAUGCGUUUGGAGAAAACUGACCACGGAGACAGCCGGGCACUGCACAGUGGCUGUGGCGGUCAGUCCAGGGGUGAUAAGGCGACUGCUGAGGUUCCACGGGGAAAACCUGCAUCGCCAUCGGCCGUCGGAGGAGAGGGCUAAGUGACUAUAGGAGACCAACCCUCCCUAUCGGAUACAGGAAUUCAGGUGAAACACAAGAAGUAGGGCUUCCACAGCCACCCAAAUUUAAACUGGGAAACAGAACCCACCCUUUCUCCAUCUGAGUGCAGAGCAAGUGCUACGAACACAGAAGGCAAUGUUUACACUGAAAUUACCUGCAAUCAUCUGAAAAAUCCAAAAGAUAACUCUUAAGAAUUCAUCUGAAAUAGAAAGUGAGCAUUGAUAUUUAAUGAAAUAACAUAUCAGCAAGACAUCUCUCAGCUACUUGUAAGUAUUUAACUAU
Molecule: long non-coding RNA, 542 nt
Organism: Columba livia (rock pigeon)
Lineage: Eukaryota; Metazoa; Chordata; Aves; Columbiformes; Columbidae
Exons: 3
Source: RefSeq, a predicted model, not a curated record